GCCCUAGUGGCAAAAUGGUUUAACGCUUGGCUGCUAACCAAAAGUUGAAGGUUCAAACCUUCCAGUGGCU
RNAcentral lists this transfer RNA (70 nucleotides) under Loxodonta africana (African savanna elephant). It matches the Rfam family "tRNA". From Rfam's summary of the family: Transfer RNA (tRNA) molecules are approximately 80 nucleotides in length. Their secondary structure includes four short double-helical elements and three loops (D, anti-codon, and T loops). The record is from Rfam by way of RNAcentral. Lineage: Eukaryota; Metazoa; Chordata; Mammalia; Proboscidea; Elephantidae.